Molecule: transfer RNA, 75 nt
Filed under: Phytohabitans flavus
Lineage: Bacteria; Bacillati; Actinomycetota; Actinomycetes; Micromonosporales; Micromonosporaceae
Description: tRNA-Lys
Rfam family: tRNA
About the family: Transfer RNA (tRNA) molecules are approximately 80 nucleotides in length. Their secondary structure includes four short double-helical elements and three loops (D, anti-codon, and T loops).
Source: RNAcentral
GCGUCGCAAGCUCAAUUGGCAGAGACAUCCGGCUUUUACCCGGAGGGUUCAGGGUUCGAGUCCCUGGCGACGCAC